GAGAUUGCGUGGGUGUUAGACAGCUUAG
This 28-nucleotide non-coding RNA is filed under the name Mus musculus (house mouse). Lineage: Eukaryota; Metazoa; Chordata; Mammalia; Rodentia; Muridae. The record is from RNAcentral.